RNAcentral lists this ribosomal RNA (440 nucleotides) under uncultured bacterium. Its description in RNAcentral is "partial 16S ribosomal RNA". It matches the Rfam family "Bacterial small subunit ribosomal RNA", at positions 338 to 795 of the family's 1533-position model. The record is from RNAcentral.
CCUACGGGUGGCAGCAGUGGGGGAUAUUGCACAAUGGGGGAAACCCUGAUGUAGCGACGCCGCGUGGGUGAAGAAGCGCCUCGGCGCGUAAAGCCCUGUCAGCAGGGAAGAAAAUGACGGUACCUGAAGAAGAAGCCCCGGCAAACUACGUGCCAGCAGCCGCGGUAAUACGUAGGGGGCAAGCGUUAUCCGGAUUUACUGGGGGUAAAGGGGGCGCAGACGGGGGUGCAAGCCAGGGGUGAAAGCCCGGGGCCCAACCGCGGGACUGCUCUUGGAACUGCGUGGCUAGAGUGCAGGAGGGGCAGGCGGAAUUCCUGGUGUAGCGGUGAAAUGCGUAGAUAUCAGGAGGAACACCGGUGGCGAAGGCGGCCUGCUGGACUGCAACUGACGUUGAGGCCCGAAAGCGUGGGGAGCAAACAGGAUUAGAUACCCGGGUAGUC